GCAUAUCAAUAAGCGGAGGAAAAGAAACCAACCGGGAUUGCCUCAGUAACGGCGAGUGAAGCGGCAAGAGCUCAAAUUUGAAAUCUGGCCCCUCCGGGGUCCGAGUUGUAAUUUGCAGAGGAUGCUUCGGGUGCGGCCCCCGUCUAAGUGCCCUGGAACGGGCCGUCAGAGAGGGUGAGAAUCCCGUCUUGGGCGGGGUGUCCGUGCCCGUGUGAAGCUCCUUCGACGAGUCGAGUUGUUUGGGAAUGCAGCUCUAAAUGGGUGGUAAAUUUCAUCUAAAGCUAAAUACUGGCCGGAGACCGAUAGCGCACAAGUAGAGUGAUCGAAAGAUGAAAAGCACUUUGAAAAGAGAGUUAAACAGCACGUGAAAUUGUUGAAAGGGAAGCGCUUGCGACCAGACUCGCCCGCGGGGUUCAGCCGGCAUUCGUGCCGGUGUACUUCCCCGUGGGCGGGCCAGCGUCGGUUUGGGCGGCCGGUCAAAGGCCUCCGGAAUGUAUCGCCCCCCGGGGCGUCUUAUAGCCGGAGGUGCAAUGCGGCCAGCCUAGACCGAGGAACGCGCUUCGGCACGGACGCUGGCAUAAUGGUCGCAAACGACCCGUCUUGAAACACGGACCAAGGAGUCUAACAUCUACGCGAGUGUUCGGGUGUCAAACCCGUACGCGCAGUGAAAGCGAACGGAGGUGGGAGCCCCCUCGUGGGGCGCACCAUCGACCGAUCCUGAUGUCUUCGGAUGGAUUUGAGUAUGAGCGUAGCUGUGGGGACCCGAAAGAUGGUGAACUAUGCCUGAAUAGGGCGAAGCCAGAGGAAACUCUGGUGGAGGCUCGCAGCGGUUCUGACGUGCAAAUCGAUCGUCAAAUUUGGGUAUAGGGGCGAAAGACUAAUCGAACCAUCUGGUAGCUGGGUCCUGCG
RNAcentral lists this ribosomal RNA (909 nucleotides) under Aspergillus haitiensis. Its description in RNAcentral is "LSU rRNA". It matches the Rfam family "Eukaryotic large subunit ribosomal RNA", at positions 38 to 962 of the family's 3401-position model. Lineage: Eukaryota; Fungi; Ascomycota; Eurotiomycetes; Eurotiales; Aspergillaceae. The record is from RNAcentral.